Molecule: ribosomal RNA, 556 nt
Filed under: uncultured Amoebozoa
Lineage: Eukaryota
Description: bacterial SSU rRNA
Rfam family: Eukaryotic small subunit ribosomal RNA
Source: RNAcentral
CAAUCAUAUGCUUGUCUCAAAGAUUAAGCCAUGCAUGUCUAAGUAUAAGUGAUAUACGGCGAAACUGCGGAAGGCUCAUUAUAUCAGUUAUAAUCUCUUUGAGAAUUCCUUUAGUUGGAUAACUGUAGGAAUUCUAGAGCUAAUACAUGCACCAUGGCAGGAUCUCGGGCAACCGGGAGAAUGUCGUGGUUAUAAGUUGAGAAACCAGUUUGGGGCAUUCAACCUGGGGGCAACUUCAGGGUUCCAAUCUCGGUGGCGAAACAUUGUAACACCACGAAUCGGGAACUCAAGUUCCUGAUGCUUUAAGCGAAUAACUGACCUAUCAACUUUCAACCGUAGUGUAGUGGACUACGGUGGUGAUAACGGGUACGGGGAAUUAAGGUUCGAUUCCGGAAAGGGAGCCUGAGAGACGGCUCCUACUUCCAAGGAAGGCAACAGGCGCGCAAAUUAUCCAAUCUUGAUUCAGGGAGAUAGUGACAAGAAAUACCGAUGUAGAACCUUCUGGGUUCUACUAUCGGAAUGAGUACAAUUUAAAAACCUUAGCGAGGAACAAUUG